UAGGGAAUAUUAGUAAUCUGGGCAACCGGGAACUAGCAACGCCGCGUGUGCGAUGAAGGCCCUCGGGUUGUAAAGCACUUUUUAAGGGAAUGAGAAAGGACAGUACCCUUAGAAUAAGUCUCGGCUAACUACGUGCCAGCAGCCGCGGUAAGACGUAGGAGACGAGCGUUAUUCGGAUUUACUGGGCGUAAAGCGCGUGCAGGCGGUUUGGUAAGUUGGAUGUGAAAGCUCUCGGCUCAACCGGGAGAGGUCGUUCAAAACUGCCAGACUAGAGAAUAGGAGAGGGAGGUGGAAUUCCGGGUGUAGUGGUGAAAUGCGUAGAUAUCCGGAGGAACACCAGUGGCGAAGGCGACCUCCUGGCCUAUUUCUGACGCUCAGACGCGAAAGCUAGGGUAGCAAUCGG
Molecule: ribosomal RNA, 403 nt
Filed under: uncultured bacterium
Lineage: Bacteria
Description: bacterial SSU rRNA
Rfam family: Bacterial small subunit ribosomal RNA
Source: RNAcentral